CGCAGCUGGAUUGACCUGCGGCCGAGCGCCUUCGGUGCGCUCGGCCGGCUAGUCCCGCUCCGGCGGCCGCGCC
RNAcentral lists this transfer RNA (73 nucleotides) under Nocardia farcinica. RNAcentral's name for it is "tRNA-Arg(tcg)". The record is from RNAcentral. Lineage: Bacteria; Bacillati; Actinomycetota; Actinomycetes; Mycobacteriales; Nocardiaceae.